Non-coding RNA from Podarcis lilfordi (Lilford's wall lizard), 3995 nucleotides. Lineage: Eukaryota; Metazoa; Chordata; Lepidosauria; Squamata; Lacertidae. The record is from the annotation of a GenBank genome assembly.
GGAGUGGGUGGGUAGAGGAGAAAUAAGAAACACAGCCGGGGAAGAUAAAAAAAAGAAUUAGGGUGUUGGAGAAGGAAUGGAGAGGUGCAAGUCCCCACUCAGCCAUAAUGCUCACCUGGGGCAGCUGUCAUCUUUCAGCCUAGCUGAAAAGGUUUUUGUUCAGAUUAAAUUGGAGGGGGCAAAACAAUGCACAUCACUAUGAGCUCCUUGGAGGAAGGGCAUGACAUAAACGUAAUGAGUUAAGAGAGGGAGGCUGGCAAGAGCUGGUAAAGAUGGAUGGGAAGAGAGGGGGGAGGGAGGGAGGAAGAGGAAGGUUAUGGAUGUACAGGCCGAUGAAGCCAGAUCAGAGACCUGAGAGUGCAAGAAAAAGGAGGCAGGGAGAGAGACAGAAUAGGGGAGGCAUAGAGCCAGAUAGUGCUGGCUCAAGGAUUUGGGGACAUCUGCUAAAUCUGGGAGCCCAGGGCCAAGAAAACAGGAAGGAUAAACUCUGCACUGGAGGAACAUUGGCAGAGUGGUAAAAUCAGUGUAGGUUCCAGCUACAUGAUUUGCUACAGAAGGCUCUGACAGGUGGAGGAGCCAGGAGCAGCCCACAGCCUUAUGUAGGAUAAUUGUAAAAAACCAGCCUGAGAGAAAUUGAUGGAUAACAAUAAUCAACAAUCAUAAAACGCAAUGAAAGCAAAGGAUCAAAAUAAGGCCCCUCCUGCUCUGGGAUUCAACCCAUUGUGGAGAACUGUUGCAUAGCCUGGUGCCAGGAAGGGUUGAACUAUGCUGCCACCUGCUGGAUAUCGGUUGCCUUUUUCACUGCAAAGUAGAGUGCCAGGUAGUUCAGUUGAUCUCAUGAAAGAAGGAAAAAGGAUGUGCUGCAUUGGAUCAAGCAGAUCCUUUGAAUAUGUUGCACUCCUUUUGCAUUAAAAGUUAUUCACUUGGGCCCAAAAAGAACCUUGUCUCUGCCAAAAAGACUUGCGGGGGGGGGGCAGAAUGACUUCCCAUCUCUGUUCUUGGUGAAAGCCCUUCCUGCAAUCUAUUUAGGGCAGGAGCAAGGAACAUUUCUCAGCCCAAGGGCCACAUUCUGACCUGGGCAACCUUCUGGGGGCCACAUGCCUGUGGCGAGCAGGGCCACAAGCAAAGGGUGAAUUUUACUUUUGUACAGUAGGCUAACAAAAACUUUAACAAGUAAUGGGGAGGUGCUUUACAGGGAGCUGAGCUGGCAGACCAACUCUGCAUUACAAAGAUGUCUGCAAACAUGGCAUGAAGGCUGACAUCAUCCCUUUCAGACAACCACAGCGCCUUGAGACAGUCAGAUUGUGCGUCCACAGCAGUGGCCAGAGGAGGAAGGACUGCUGGGAGGAGCACAGAAUGAAGAAAUGUCCUGGGUGCAUCUGUAGCAGUGAAACCUUCGUCUGCUCUACCUGUGAUAAAACAUGUCUCUCCCAUAUUGGUCUCCACAGCAGGCGCUGUAACUCUCCAGCAGUUUGACUUUACCCUUGAUGGCUCACUCUUCCAUUGUCUCUUGAAACAGACGGAUGCCAACAAUAGGACCCUACCUUGUAGACUUGUAAGGAUUUCUGAGCUAAUGUAUGUGAAGGGCUUUGAACACUCAAAAGGUGCUAUAUAAUGAAGUUGUUAUUGAGCCUUGUCAAGGAAAUGAGCACAUCUCAGGGGCUUUAAGCCUUUGAAGAUGGUGUAGCAAAUAAAAAGAGAGAGAGCAAGGAAUAAUAUAAUGAUGAAUGCAUUUCUCCAUCUCUAGUUCUAUGUAGGGCCCAGGGAACCCUGGUGAAACUGAACAGGGCUUCAGAAUUCCAAACACCCCCACAAGAAAUGCUAAGAGCAAAGCCACCCCUCCUAUUUUUUCUUAACAGAGAGCAGCUGAUAUUCCACAUGAGGAAAAAGAGCCUUCUGGCAAAUUAGAUAAAGAUGAUAGAAAUCAUGGGCUUACAUGCGGGGCUAAUGAGAGUUUGUGUUUGGUGGGGCUGUUAUUGCACCAGCGAAGGAAGCUUAGCUAAUAAAGCGAUCCUAUGAUUGCAGGGGGUGGACUUGAUGACUCUCAGGGACCCUGCCAACUCUACAAUUCUUAUUUCUCUGCAAUUCUAUCAUGGACGAAAAACUGCCAAAUAUUCUUUUUUAGCCCUGAGCAAUGAACCACGUGCUGGUUCACAUGAUACAGUUACUCUGAAAGGAAGCCACACUUCCACACAUGCUCAUAAGAAAGACACCUAUGCAUAGUGUGAGGCACACAAAAGUUUGUGUCAUUACCCAGUAUUCUCCCAUGCAGGCAGUGUGCAGAAGUAUAGAAGUAUAAAUGGGUGUGUGUGUGUUUAAUCUUAUAAACCAACAAUUCUGGGAAGAAUGACAAAUCUUCUCUUACAGAAAAGCAGCAGCAUAAAAGAUCAAUGUGCCUAAGGGUGUCGCCAGAUGGACCUUUUAUAGCCUUUCUCUGUGGUUCAUUCCUUUUGUUUACAGGGAAUCCACAGAACAUCAGCCCUUCCCGACAAGCUGUUUAUUGAGCGUUCGUUCUGAUUUGCUUGCAGGUAUAUUAGAAAAUGUGAGCUAUUUAAUUAGCAUUCACUCUGAUUUGUUUGUGGGGAGGUUAAUUGACUUUGCACCAAAGCAGUAUCAUUUCAUACUUCUGGUGCAUUUCCCCAACACUUCUCUCAUUGCAGACAAAGCCCAUCGGUGUAUGGAGAAGGGUCAUCGCUCAGUGGUGGAUCUUCUGCUUUGCAUCCCUGGCUCAGUCUGUACCCAUCUCAAGUAGGGCUGGGGAAAACUCCUUGCCUGAACCCCUAGAGAGCCAUUGCCAUCUUAACGGAUGCUAGUGAAAAUCCCCAGAGCGUGGGGCAGUUCAUUCACGGAAAGCUGGCAUACUCAGAGAACAAAAGAGAGCAGGGAAGGCAAAUAUCAAGUGUGUGAACUCAGAUUUCUUCUUUACACAAUUCGGUUGUGUAAUUCACCAAAUAUCAAGUGUGUGAACUCAGAAUUCUUCCUUGGGUACCAAUGCGGUUGUGUAAUUCACCCGACAAUUGCCGGUGGUACAUCUUUGUGUACAACAUUGGACUGGGAGGGGAGAUGUAGAAUUCCUGGGUACAAAGUGGACGUUUUGUGCUUAGCAAUUCAGAAGACAACACAGCUGUCAGUACAUAUAUUAGUUCAUGUACAUAGUGGAUGUAUAAAGUACUUAUUAAGUGGACGGAAGAAAGCUUCAUCAAAAGAUACACCCAUUUUAAUAAAGAAUAUGAGAGCUUAUUAAACAUUACCUGCUCAGCCCAUGCAGCAUCCCGACAUCUGUAGUAUUUCAUAUAAUCAAAUUAAUGUUGAUCCAGGACAUGAGAGUUAUGGAUUCAAGGACUCUUAUUGAUUCAAAAUCCAGGUGAUCUAUUGAUUUUAAAACUGUGACUCUUCUGGCCCCAUGCUGGGUGUGUGUGUGUGUGUGUGUGUGUGUGUGUGUGUGUGAUAGAGAGCAUAUGCAUACACAUGUUUCCAUACACCGUAUAUAUGCAUAAACACAUACAUGUACAUAUACUUGUUGAGUAUUUUCAGCUCAUGGUCAAUGACGGCCGCCUUCCGUGAAUUAUUGGCCUGCAACAGGCCAGUGGACAAGUUUGUAGUUUGCUCUUGAAUUUCCAUAAUAGUGUCACUAAAGGUAAAGUCACAUUAGUUUUUGCAACUAUAUUAUGCAUCAACAAACAUUACAUGUUAUUAAUAUUCUCCGAGUGGCAACUGAUAAUAUUUCAACUGUCAAAAUAAAUUUUUGUACUGCCUAAAUACUUAGGAAGGCAAUUUCUUGCAGAGACAGCCUUCUGUCACAGAUGUAUAUUUAUGUGUUAGUCGUGAAAGGGUAACUUGUUGGUUGCAAGACCAAUUUCAGAAACGAACAUGUUUGUUACAGGAAUGUAGCGAUACUACAGUAUGAUAAGUAUUUGGUGCUUUUAUUGUUGAUGAUUAAUGCUGGAAGGUUGUUUUUUUUAAUUAUAUGGUUGUCAAUACAUAUGUCUUACAAA